This 405-nucleotide ribosomal RNA is filed under the name Triticum aestivum (bread wheat). RNAcentral's name for it is "partial small subunit ribosomal RNA". Lineage: Eukaryota; Viridiplantae; Streptophyta; Magnoliopsida; Poales; Poaceae. The record is from RNAcentral.
AUGAGGCCGCCGGUGCCCUUGCCCCAGGCGGAGGUAGCAGGAGGCGGCGGGGCCAGCGCCGGCCGCGGCCUCCCCUACCGCUCCUCUGUUUCCUGUCGGGGGAGACGGGAAGAAGAAGAAGAAGACAGGAGCGAGGCGGGCCCCUCCUCUGCCGUGGGCCCCACGAGUCAGCCACAGCGGGCGUUGACCUGGAUGUGGCAUCUUCAGCCCUGUUCAGAACUUCCCCGCUCCGUGGAGUUGGGGAGUUGGGUUUUGGCAGCUCCAUCAAAUUCAGGUAAAGUAUGGUCCGCUCCCGGAGCGGAGUUCCAGGAGCGGAGAGAAACCGAACGCAACCUUCAUAUGUCCAUAUCACGAGUCUUUGCCAAGUUGCAUCCCAUUUCAUCACUCCAUGUGAUGAGGACAUGA